RNAcentral lists this transfer-messenger RNA (200 nucleotides) under Truepera sp. It matches the Rfam family "transfer-messenger RNA", at positions 160 to 374 of the family's 374-position model. From Rfam's summary of the family: Bacterial tmRNA, also known as 10Sa RNA or SsrA, is named for its dual tRNA and mRNA-like properties. Its role is to liberate the mRNA from a stalled ribosome. Lineage: Bacteria; Thermotogati; Deinococcota; Deinococci; Trueperales; Trueperaceae. The record is from Rfam by way of RNAcentral.
GGCUCGUUAAGCUGACGCAGCAAAACAAGCUAGCCAAAGGCAGCAGCGUCGGCCGGCGGCGAAGUUAAAGGCGCUUAGGUGACGCGCAGGAGCCUGUCGUUGGGCGCGCGCGCCGCCGAAACCCAAAUGCAGCGACUACACGCGUAGAAGCCGGUCUAAAGGAGCUUCGGACGCGGGUUCGACUCCCGCCGCCUCCACCA